UACGUAGGGUGCGAGCGUUAAUCGGAAUUACUGGGCGUAAAGCGUGCGCAGGCGGUUCGUUGUGUCGGCGGUGAAAGCCCCGGGCUCAACCUGGGAAUGGCCGUUGAAACUGGCGAACUGGAGUGUGGCAGAGGGGGGUGGAAUUCCGCGUGUAGCAGUGAAAUGCGUAGAGAUGCGGAAGAACACCGAUGGCGAAGGCAGCCCCCUGGGCUGACACUGACGCUCAGGCACGAAAGCGUGGGGAGCAAACAGG
This 253-nucleotide ribosomal RNA is filed under the name uncultured bacterium. RNAcentral's name for it is "partial 16S ribosomal RNA". It matches the Rfam family "Bacterial small subunit ribosomal RNA", at positions 524 to 776 of the family's 1533-position model. The record is from RNAcentral.